UACGUAGGGUGCAAGCGUUGUCCGGAAUUAUUGGGCGUAAAGAGCUUGUAGGUGGUUUGUCGCGUCUGCUGUGAAAUUUCGGGGCUCAACCCCGAACUUGCAGUGGGUACGGGCAGACUAGAGUGUGGUAGGGGAGACUGGAAGUUCCUGGUGUAGCGGUGAAAUGCGCAGAUAUCAGGAGGAACACCGAUGGCGAAGGCAGGUCUCUGGGCCAUAACUGACGCUGAGAAGCGAAAGCAUGGGGAGCGAACAGG
RNAcentral lists this ribosomal RNA (254 nucleotides) under uncultured bacterium. RNAcentral describes it as "partial 16S ribosomal RNA". It matches the Rfam family "Bacterial small subunit ribosomal RNA", at positions 524 to 776 of the family's 1533-position model. The record is from RNAcentral.